Molecule: long non-coding RNA, 426 nt
Organism: Equus caballus (horse)
Lineage: Eukaryota; Metazoa; Chordata; Mammalia; Perissodactyla; Equidae
Source: Ensembl
GGGCCGGAAGUAGGUAGGACAGUGGUAGGUAGGACAGUGGCAGGUAGGACAGUGGUAGGUAGGACGGUGGUAGGUAGGGCCAGAAGUAGGUAGGACAGUGGUAGGUAAGACGGUGGUAGGUAGGAUGGUGGUAGGUAGGGCAGGAAGUAGGUAGGACAGUGGUAGGUAGGACGGUGGUAGGUAGGAUGGUGGUAGGUAGGGCCGGAAGUAGGUAAGACGGUGGUAGGUAGGAUGGUGGUAGGUAGGGCUGGAAGUAGGUAAGACGGUGGUAGGUAGGACAGUGGUAGGUAGGGCAGGAAGUAGGUAGGACAGUGGUAGGUAGGACGGUGGUAGGUAGGAUGGUGGUAGGUAGGACGGUGGUAGGUAGGAUGGUGGUAGGUAGGACGGUGGUAGGUAGGGCCGGAAGUAGGUAGGACGGUGGUAGGU